This 714-nucleotide ribosomal RNA is filed under the name Sarcogyne praetermissa. RNAcentral describes it as "partial large subunit ribosomal RNA". It matches the Rfam family "Eukaryotic large subunit ribosomal RNA", at positions 188 to 918 of the family's 3401-position model. Lineage: Eukaryota; Fungi; Ascomycota; Lecanoromycetes; Acarosporales; Acarosporaceae. The record is from RNAcentral.
CCUUGGAACAGGACGUCACAGAGGGUGAGAAUCCCGUACGUGACCGGCCGCCACGCCCGUGUGAAGCUCCUUCGACGAGUCGAGUUGUUUGGGAAUGCAGCUCAAAAUGGGUGGUAAAUUUCAUCUAAAGCUAAAUAUUGGCCAGAGACCGAUAGCGCACAAGUAGAGUGAUCGAAAGAUGAAAAGCACUUUGGAAAGAGAGUCAAACAGUACGUGAAAUUGUUGAAAGGGAAGCGCUUGCAACCAGACUUGCCCGCGGGUGAUCAACCGGUAUUCUCUUACCGGUGCACUCGCCCGCGGUCAGGCCAGCAUCGGUUUGGGCGGCUGGAUAAAGUCCACUGGAAUGUAGCUCCUCUCGGGGAGCGUUAUAGUCAGAGGUGCCAUGCAGCCCGCCCGGACCGAGGACCGCGCUUCGGCUAGGAUGCUGGCGUAAUGGUUGUAAGCGACCCGUCUUGAAACACGGACCAAGGAGUCUAACAUCUAUGCGAGUGUUUGGGUGUCAAACCCAUGCGCGUAAUGAAAGUGAACGGAGGUGGGAACCCUUCAGGGUGCACCAUCGACCGAUCCUGAUGUCUUCGGAUGGAUUUGAGUAAGAGCAUAGCUGUUGGGACCCGAAAGAUGGUGAACUAUGCCUGAAUAGGGUGAAGCCAGAGGAAACUCUGGUGGAGGCUCGCAGCGGUUCUGACGUGCAAAUCGAUCGUCAAAUUUGGGUAU